UUCGUCACACUAUCAUUAACUGAAUCCAUAGGUUAAUGAGGCGAACCGGGGGAACUGAAACAUCUAAGUACCCCGAGGAAAAGAAAUCAACCGAGAUUCCCCCAGUAGCGGCGAGCGAACGGGGAGCAGCCCAGAGCCUGAAUCAGUGUGUGUGUUAGUGGAAGCGUCUGGAAAGGCGCGCGAUACAGGGUGACAGCCCCGUACACAAAAAUGCACAUACUGUGAGCUCGAUGAGUAGGGCGGGACACGUGGUAUCCUGUCUGAAUAUGGGGGGACCAUCCUCCAAGGCUAAAUACUCCUGACUGACCGAUAGUGAACCAGUACCGUGAGGGAAAGGCGAAAAGAACCCCGGCGAGGGGAGUGAAAAAGAACCUGAAACCGUGUACGUACAAGCAGUGGGAGCACAGAGCAAUC
Molecule: ribosomal RNA, 414 nt
Filed under: Escherichia coli
Lineage: Bacteria; Pseudomonadati; Pseudomonadota; Gammaproteobacteria; Enterobacterales; Enterobacteriaceae
Also listed under: 1 other name
Description: partial 23S ribosomal RNA
Rfam family: Bacterial large subunit ribosomal RNA
Source: RNAcentral